CACCAUCACAUGGUCACAAUUUAGAGACACAAUUAAGCGGAAAUAUCAAAAUUUUACCGCUCACCCAAAAUUUAAGCGUGAAUAUCAAUUAAGUGAUCAGAUCUAGGGUUUUGAUUCUAAAGUCUGCUCCCCAAAAUCACUAGAACCAUAAACUUUGCUCCACCAUCAUUGAUGGAAUCAUCCUUCGCUCAACCAUCACCGAUGGAAUCAUCCUCCGCUCCACCUCACUAUCAACGAUCUCCCCUGAAUCACAUGGUAACGAUUAGACUUCAACAACAAGCAAAUCAUUUUGUUUCUUAACUGCGACAAAUAUUGUAAAAUUCAAAUUCAGGUUUGUCUUUUAUCUUAUUAUUUUGUUGCACAUAAUUGUUGUUUCAUUUAUAAAGUGGUCGAUUGUGUUAGGGUUUCUCUUUGUUGAAAACCAUUGUAUUGGGAGUGGUGGAUUAGGCACUAUAAUUCAAUAAUUUGUUGGGUUAUGUGGGUGUGGGUGCAUAGUGUUAUCUGCAAGCUUUAAACAGAAGCAUUGAAGGUUGUUUAGGUGUUUAUGUUAGUAGUCAGGAGAGUUGGGCCAUGUAUGCUUGUAUAUCCAAUCAUAGUUUAAUGUACAACUUUCAUAGGCAAUAAGGAUUGUUUGUAUAGCUACAUUUGAUUCAAUAGUUGCUUAUGAAACCAAAAACUUUAGCUGUUGCUAGCCAACCUUACCCAACACAUUAAUUUGUAUGUAGUUUUUUGUUCUUUGAGUUGGCGUUUCAGUUGAUUUAUUGGAUUUGUACUCACUAUUCACGAGCAUUACAUGGUGCACACCAUGUGUUUGUAAAUAUUCCUCUUAACAAUUUGUUUGUCCCUCUUCUAAAAAUUGUUGUUUGUCUGACCGGGAGUUUCACUUCUGCUACCUGCUCAUAUUUGUUUGUAAUAUCAAGUGGGAUUGCUAUAUACGUUUUAGAUUUUUAAAGCUGAAAAGAUUGGUUUACGAGGGAGAAAACAAAUUUACCAAGUGGGAUUUUAUAAUCUUUUGGUGGUAUUCAGAUACAGCUAUUCAACGGAAGUAUUUGGACAAACUAAUUUGUCACUGGAACCCAAAUGCUGAACUAUGAAACCCUGUUAUCACCUUAAAGCCAAUUAUUUAAACUAGCUUCCUAUUUAAACAGAUAGCGGAUGUCUUUUACAGUACUAGUAAGUACUAACUGUAAAAAAAAAUGAUUAAUAUUACCAUGUUUUGUUAGUAAACAGUCUAUAUAUAUUGAGAACCACAUAAGAACAUAUACAUGGUAAUCCAACAUUCUAGUCAAGUUAUAUAAUAAAUAGUACAAGGGUUUGAAUGUGGCGGAUUUGAGAUCGGCAAAUCCCCAAAUCAAAAGAUUUUCAGUAACGUAAAAUAAGAGUUUGUUUCAGUUUCUUCUUAAACAUUUGAUAGAUGACGACAAUAAAGGGAUGAGCAUUUGGUACCGGGUACCGGUACCGAACCGGUACCACUCUCCCCGUUUUUGGUACCGGUACCAAACCGGUGUAUUCGGUACCGGUACCGAUACCCACUUUUCCCAUUUUUUGGUACUGGUACUUUCGGUACCGAACGGAUACCGUGCUCAUCCCUAAACACGGUAUCUUGAUAUAACAACUAUGCACCCAUAGUUUAAGCCCAAAAGAUUUGUAUGUAGGUCGCUAGGAGAGCUAUCAAGAACGCUAGAAAAGCGUCACGAAUCAUCACUUAGCUACUACGAUUGAAAAGUUGAACCUAGUUAUCAAGGAGCUCGUUAAGGAAAAAAUUGAAGAAAAAGAAAGGUUCAAUGGAAUUAUUGCGGGGUUGUUGGCGAAAAAGAAAAAGAUAAGGUGGAUAAAGAUGCUAUGCUUGAUAGGAUGUCACAAAUUAAAGUUAUGUUAAUAGCUACAGUUCGAAGAUAGGCUAUAAACACUUGGUUGUGAAUGUUUAGAUAUUUAUCUUAACAGGAUAAUUUUAGUUAUUUUAUGUU
Molecule: long non-coding RNA, 1967 nt
Organism: Helianthus annuus (common sunflower)
Lineage: Eukaryota; Viridiplantae; Streptophyta; Magnoliopsida; Asterales; Asteraceae
Exons: 2
Source: RefSeq, a predicted model, not a curated record